This 497-nucleotide ribosomal RNA is filed under the name uncultured bacterium. RNAcentral describes it as "partial 16S ribosomal RNA". It matches the Rfam family "Bacterial small subunit ribosomal RNA", at positions 28 to 507 of the family's 1533-position model. The record is from RNAcentral.
GAUGAACGCUGGCGGCGUGCCUAAUACAUGCAAGUCGAGCGAACAGAUAAGGAGCUUGCUCCUUUGACGUUAGCGGCGGACGGGUGAGUAACACGUGGGUAACCUACCUAUAAGACUGGAAUAACUCCGGGAAACCGGGGCUAAUGCAGGAUAACAUGUUGAACCGCAUGGUUCUACAGUGAAAGGCGGCUUUGCUGUCACUUAUAGAUGGACCCGCGCCGUAUUAGCUAGUUGGUGAGGUAACGGCUCACCAAGGCAACGAUACGUAGCCGACCUGAGAGGGUGAUCCGCCACACUGGAACUGAGACACGGUCCAGACUCCUACGGGAGGCAGCAGUAGGGAAUCUUCCGCAAUGCGCGAAUGCCUGACGGAGCAACGCCGCGUGAGUGAUGAAGGUCUUCGGAUCGUAAAACUCUGUUAUUAGGGAAGAACAAAUGCGUAAGUAACUGUGCGCGUCUUGACGGUACCUAAUCAGAAAGCCACGGCUAACUACGUG